Molecule: ribosomal RNA, 256 nt
Filed under: uncultured bacterium
Lineage: Bacteria
Description: partial 16S ribosomal RNA
Rfam family: Bacterial small subunit ribosomal RNA
Source: RNAcentral
UGGCGGACGGGUGAGUAAUGUCUGGGAAACUGCCUGAUGGAGGGGGAUAACUACUGGAAACGGUAGCUAAUACCGCAUAACGUCGAAAGACCAAAGAGGGGGACCUUCGGGCCUCUUGCCAUCGGAUGUGCCCAGAUGGGAUUAGCUUGUUGGUGGGGUAAUGGCUCACCAAGGCGACGAUCCCUAGCUGGUCUGAGAGGAUGACCAGCCACACUGGAGCUGAGACACGGUCCAGACUCCUACGGGAGGCAGCAUG